This is a long non-coding RNA of Pipra filicauda (Wire-tailed manakin), 2128 nucleotides long. RefSeq lists it as uncharacterized. NCBI's taxonomy places the organism in Eukaryota, Metazoa, Chordata, Aves, Passeriformes, Pipridae. The transcript has 2 exons. The record is from RefSeq and is a predicted model, not a curated record.
GCCAGCAUAGCUCGCAACCACAUAGGGGUGCACAGGCUGCACUCCUACUAUUAAAAACGAUUAGGGCAAGUCUUACACUACCUAGUUUUCUGCCAUCUGUCUAUAUUCAAUUCCAGGGAAACACCCAGGAUCAGCCCUUUGUCCUGACCAACCUUACAGGAUGUAACAAAUAAAUCCAGGACAUACCAAACCUGGGCAGUAGCCGCAGAGUUUACUUGGCUUUUUGCGCAUCACCAUGUCAGUCUUGGAAACCUUUCUGCUAAACCUUUCAUCAGAAGCACCAACUAAGAAGCAGCUGAAAUACCAUUCGUCUCUGAAAAAUGCUGUUCAUAAGAAAACCAGAGGCACAUUUUCAAAACAUUUGUAUUUUUCAUAUUUUAAUUCAACUAAAUUAAUGAACAUGACUGUCAUUUUAAUAUAUGGCAGAGAAAAUACAUGUUUCAAAGAAAUGAAGUCAGAUGUCAUGGAAAAUUCUGAAUCUGGGAAAAGUUCGAUUAUUUUAUCAAUCAGAGAUGUCUACAGUUCAAUCCAAGAAGCAGAAAAACAAGACAGCUGCCCUUGAACAUACUCUCAGGUCAGUGUAUACAUGAAGUGGCAAGAUUAAGAGGGAAGAAAACAAUACCAAGGAUCUUGAAGAUCAGAAGAUUUUUCAAGCCAUUUUUAAAAUGGACCACAAGGAAUCAAAGACUUCUGAGAACAGGGGGAUUCACUGCCUAGAGCUGAGAGAAAAUCAGCAUAACAGGAGUUCCGUGAAGGUGUGGGAGAUUAGUGCCAGCUCCUUCAGAAAGUCAGGGUUCCUUUUAACACCACAGCACUUUGCCCUGCAAUGUCCACCCUCCCGUCGCUGCGCAGGCAAAUCUUCAACUCCCCUCCACGGCGGGAACACUGAAAGGCUGAAGGGAAACAAGAACCCACAGUUAAAAAACUAGUGUGGAGCACAAAGCACUUAAAAACCCAGGAAAAACUCCAGCAAAUGAGCCUUCUGUCUGCAGAAAGCAAACACUGCACCAGGGACAGGCUUUAGGGAUGAAGAUCAGCUGGGCUCUAUUUCCAACUGGAACUUGGCUCCUCAGUCUCACAAACCCGCUCCUGAACACCAGCUGGGAAGCUGCUGUGCUGCAGCCAACUGAAGCCUUGAGUUCUCCCUCCCUGGCAUACACUUCCUGCAGGUCAGAAGGAAGAACACCAAGCAUUAUCUCCAGGAGAAUGAAGAACCAUUUUCCUGGCACUGAACAGCUCGAGCUGAUAUGACAGUCAAAGAAGGAAUGAGGCUGAGGGGGAAAUAAGCUCACGCAGGCAGUGGAAAAAGUCUACAAAGAAACAUCACUGCUGCUUCAGCUGUUACAAACUGACACCAAGUUCACCCAAAGACAGGAACAGACACUGAUUUACAGAAUCCUGAAUAUAUAGUUUAAUACAACUGGAUCAACUCGAAGUAGAAACAGCCUUGUAACUAAUUACAGAACUAAGCUUUUGCCUGAACUGUUCAGUCAUACACAAGGUGGGAUGAUAAUGUUCACCUCCCUGUGGAGUCUGUAGCUGGUUUCAGCAGCCCCAUUUCAGUUCAGAUGGCACUGAGAAAAGGUCUGAGUUUCACAUAGUGUUGCUUUUGUAAAAGGCUGUAAAUGGAUGAAGAGGCUUUAAUGUCCACUCUCCUUACUCAAGGAAUUUCCAACUGCUCCAGGAGUUGUUCAAAGCUCAAGGGCACAUUUUCCCUCUCAACCCCACUAUUAUAAGAAGGGUAAUUGCAUUCAGACCCUUGCAGAGCACAGGCUUCAACAGAUGGCAGGUGUGCUGGACACUUUCAAACUAUUUCUGAGCCACUGCUGAUAAGAAAGCUCCUCUUGGCUCAGGUUGGUGAAUUGUCAGACAAAGCAGACACUCUAAGAGCAGAAACAGAACCUAUCUAAAGAUUGAUAUUAAUACUUUCUGUUCUUUUCCAUUUAUAGAGCCUCAGGUUAUUGUUUUUAAGUUGUCAGAACAUCACCUAGGAAUGAGUAUUGCUUCCACUGAAUAUUAUCGACUCUUAAAGACUCAAGCCAUGCUAAAUUUGAUCAGUUGGUAUUGCCAGGUCUGAAGGUCCCUCAAGAGAGCACAUUUAAAUAAAAGAGAUUAUUUCAAAUCUUCA